RNAcentral lists this ribosomal RNA (303 nucleotides) under Mycobacterium tuberculosis. RNAcentral's name for it is "bacterial SSU rRNA". It matches the Rfam family "Bacterial small subunit ribosomal RNA", at positions 338 to 632 of the family's 1533-position model. Lineage: Bacteria; Bacillati; Actinomycetota; Actinomycetes; Mycobacteriales; Mycobacteriaceae. The record is from RNAcentral.
CCUACGGGAGGCAGCAGUAGGGAAUCAUCCGCAAUGGGCGAAAGCCUGACGGUGCAACGCCGCGUGAGUGAGGAAGGUUUUCGGAUCGUAAAACUCUGUUGUUAGGGAAGAACAAGUACCGUUCGAAUAGGUCGGUACCUUGACGGUACCUAACCAGAAAGCCACGGCUAACUACGUGCCAGCAGCCGCGGUAAUACGUAGGUGGCAAGCGUUGUCCGGAAUUAUUGGGCGUAAAGCGCGCGCAGGCGGUCCUUUAAGUCUGAUGUGAAAGCCCACGGCUCAACCGUGGAGGGUCAUUGGAAA